UCAAACUUGGUCAUUUAGAGGAAGUAAAAGUCGUAACAAGGUUUCCGUAGGUGAACCUGCGGAAGGAUCAUUAACGUGUAUGUCAUUGAGCUCCCGCCCGUUGGCACUGGCAAGCCGAGCCAAGCUUUGUGGGCUCCCGAAGCGUCUGGCUGGCGAAGCUUCGUGGUCAUCCGAAGCAGGUGUCUGGCGCACCGGCAAAGCGUGUGCGCCCGGGCGGCGUCGCCCAAUCAACGUAUGUCAAAGAGCCCCGUAAGGCACAAGCUUUGUGGGCUCCCAAAGCGUGCCCGAAGGUGGCGCCCAACCUUCUCAAACCCCUGUGCACCUUGACGGCGGAAGGCCCUCGGGCCGGAAGCCGCUUCACAAACCCACAAACUUCAGAAUGCUCUGCGACUCCUGUCGCCUAACAAACUGAACAACUUUCAACAACGGAUCUCUUGGCUCUCGCAUCGAUGAAGAACGCAGC
Molecule: unclassified non-coding RNA, 463 nt
Filed under: uncultured fungus
Lineage: Eukaryota; Fungi
Description: partial contains small subunit ribosomal RNA, internal transcribed spacer 1, and 5.8S ribosomal RNA
Rfam family: Eukaryotic small subunit ribosomal RNA (bases 1-73)
Source: RNAcentral